RNAcentral lists this ribosomal RNA (330 nucleotides) under uncultured eukaryote. RNAcentral describes it as "partial 18S ribosomal RNA". It matches the Rfam family "Eukaryotic small subunit ribosomal RNA", at positions 1470 to 1796 of the family's 1831-position model. The record is from RNAcentral.
CCCUUAGAUGUUCGGGGCCGCACGCGCGCUACACUGAAGGAAUCAGCACGUCUUUCUCCUUGUCCGAAAGGACUGGGUAACCCGCUGAACCUCCUUCGUGCUAGGGAUUGGGGCUUGUAAUUCUUCCCCAUGAACGAGGAAUUCCCAGUAAGCGCGAGUCAUAAGCUCGCGUUGAUUACGUCCCUGCCCUUUGUACACACCGCCCGUCGCUACUACCGAUUGGAUGGUUUAGUGAGAUCCUCGGAUUGGUCCCGGAGCGGCCUCUGGUCGUGCCGGAGUGCCGAAAAGAAUGUCGAACUUGAUCAUCUAGAGGAAGUAAAGGUCGUAACA